GACCACGAAAGACUUGAUACUCAGAUGGCCUGCGACGUCCGACACGGAGUUUUCCGCGCACCAAUGAAUGGAACAUAUGCAUUCAGUAUGACGCUAACGGCACAAGCAGGAAAAAUGGUCUAUGCACAUAUGGUUCGGAAUUCGGUAUCAGAACGUCUUGGAUACGUCUUUAUAAACGCAGACCCUGACCGAGGGCAAGAGAGAUCUACGUUUAUUCUCGUUGACCUAACAGUCGGGGAUGACGUCUGGAUAGCUUGUUUACCCGGAGAAACAACUGACAUAGAUGGCGGUCACUCGGGGCUUCAUUCGUUUUUCUCUGGAUUCCUUGUUAAUUAAAGGAACGAGCGUC
Molecule: long non-coding RNA, 349 nt
Organism: Dreissena polymorpha
Lineage: Eukaryota; Metazoa; Mollusca; Bivalvia; Myida; Dreissenidae
Exons: 2
Source: RefSeq, a predicted model, not a curated record